GCUCGGAAACGGACGCUAAUACCGCAUACGUCCUACGGGAGAAAGCAGGGGACCUUCGGGCCUUGCGCUAUCAGAUGAGCCUAGGUCGGAUUAGCUAGUUGGUGAGGUAAUGGCUCACCAAGGCGACGAUCCGUAACUGGUCUGAGAGGAUGAUCAGUCACACUGGAACUGAGACACGGUCCAGACUCCUACGGGAGGCAGCAGUGGGGAAUAUUGGACAAUGGGCGAAAGCCUGAUCCAGCCAUGCCGCGUGUGUGAAGAAGGUCUUCGGAUUGUAAAGCACUUUAAGUUGGGAGGAAGGGCAGUUACCUAAUACGUAUCUGUUUUGACGUUACCGACAGAAUAAGCACCGGCUAACUCUGUGCCAGCAGCGGCGGUAAUACAGAGGGUGCAAGCGUUAAUCGGAAUUACUGGGCGUAAAGCGCGCGUAGGUGGUUUGUUAA
Molecule: ribosomal RNA, 443 nt
Filed under: Pseudomonas sp.
Lineage: Bacteria; Pseudomonadati; Pseudomonadota; Gammaproteobacteria; Pseudomonadales; Pseudomonadaceae
Description: bacterial SSU rRNA
Rfam family: Bacterial small subunit ribosomal RNA
Source: RNAcentral